GGGACAUGGUGGACCGGAGACGUCAAUGCUAAAAUCUUGUCACUUAACUAUGGAGACUUCAAGGCUGAGAUCAAAUCCGUUGAUGCUCAAGAAUCCCUAAAUGGUGGAGUCAGCGUUCUGGUAACUGGAUACAUGACUGGAAUGGAUAAUAUUUAUCCGUUUAGUUUAGUGCAACGGUGAAUGCAGGCGGUGAACGGUUAAAAAGCCAGAAGCCGAGGUUACCGAAAUUCAAAAUGUGCUGAUUUGGCAAAUUUGGUAAACGUGGCGGCUCUCAAGGUGGCAAUGGACGGUGCAAAAUCGCUGUAAAGAACAGAGUUUACUGUUGUCUCUUGCUUGCUUCAGUCUCUAUAAGUACUUCAUGAAGCUCAACACUCUACAAACCCUCAACUACACUCAACUGACUUACUGCUUUUACAUCUACUGUUGUCUGAAAGAGAGCAUGCUUGCUUCAGUCUCUACAAAUACUUCAUCAAGUUCAACACUCUACAAACACUCAACU
Molecule: long non-coding RNA, 499 nt
Organism: Helianthus annuus (common sunflower)
Lineage: Eukaryota; Viridiplantae; Streptophyta; Magnoliopsida; Asterales; Asteraceae
Exons: 3
Source: RefSeq, a predicted model, not a curated record